UUUUAGGGGGUUAUCUUUACCCUUCUUACAGAGACGAAGCAUAUGCAUAACACAUAGAAGAGCCUUGAAUGAUAGAAACUUUCUGCUAGAAUGGAUUGUUUGUGACAGAUUUAUAGCAACACGUCAUUUUAAAUGUUCUAUACCAAGGUUAAAAAUACCUUUCAACAACUGGAUGGAUAAUCAGUUUCUAAAAGCUGAAUAGAUUUAAGGACUUAAGUCCUCAGUCCUAUUAGUAAAAUAAUGUAUGUUUUACUGAGCAGCUGCCGUACUAGAUGGUACAGGGAUUUUUUUUUUUAAUUUCAGUCAAAGUCCUAUAGAUUAGAUUCAUAUUCUGCACAUCAUAUUUAACUCAACUUCUACAACUUCUGUUUCUCUAUCUAUCUGUUCACUUAUAUAUGGAAGAGACAGAAGAGAUAAUAGGGAGCCAGUUCAGGGAAUAGAUAAAAUUUUCAGAUUUCACACUCUUAUUUCAUGCCUCAUGGAAGAAAGCAAUGCAGAUGGAAAAAGGAAUAAGGGUUUAUAUUGAUUGAGCACUAAUGUUCAUCCUAGGUACAGAGCCUUUAUUUGCACUAUUUUCAUAUCUUCUCUACAAAUAAGCUAACAUGUAUUUCUCAUUUUACAGAUGAGGGACCAAACAACCUUAGCAAGCUCAUUGUUCUAGCAAAGGACAGGUUCAGUACUUAAGGUCUUUCACACUGAUGGUUCGUUUGUUGGUUUAAAGCUUGUUGGGGAAAAGGAAUUUGGCAAGGAUACUCCCCUGGCCCUUCCGUAUCUGGUGUACAGGAAUCUCCAAUCAGAGAUUGCCUUGAGUUGCCUGUUGGACCCUCUGAACCAUCUUUUGGAUAUUCCAGAUAUGAGCAAGUCAGGGCUUCUGAAAAUGCUCAUCAUCACUGAGGUCAACAGUACCUUAGGUUUUAAGGGGCUUAGCAAAGCACAUACUUUGCCAAUAAAGAUACAGGUUAGAAUGGAUUUUCUGUGGGGACCAGAGUAGUGGAACAUUUUAUAUUCUUUAAAAUACCCUAGCUUAAAAUUUUGAGUUACUGCAUAAUAAAGUAGCUUAUUAAAACAAUUAAGAGGAUUAAAGCAGACCAUUUUAUAGAUCUAUUACUUCUUAGUCCCUGAAAUGAACUUAAUGUUAUUUCCAUAAUCAUUUAUUAAACAUGUAUAUUCUUCACCAUAGUUGGCGCUAGAUGUUGAGGCUAUUAAUGCACAUGAAUUAUAUUUUAAUAAGCACAGAAUAUUUAAAGGAAAACUCAUCUUCCUAAUAUUUUUCUGUAAGGGACAUUAAUUUCUGUCCUUCUGUGUCAUAGUUAGGCGAAGCAUGGUGCUCUAAAUCUAGACAAUCCUGCCUCAUCUUGGGUCAGUACUCUGUGCAGUAUCAUUGCAAUUCCUGAUUUCACGAAGGGCAAAGAGCCAACUUGUAAACUAUCUUUCUCUGUUGUCUUUUAAGAGGUUAUUUGGCUGUUGGCAGCACAUUUGUGUCUUUGUCAAACAAACAAACAAACAAAAACCAGGCAUUAAAAGCAACAGAAAAAUACAGCUUCUUACUUUCUCAUUCAACCGUCUCCAUGAGAGUCCAGACAAGAGAUAAAAAAGACAGCAACAACUAACAUUUUAUUAAAAGUACUGCUACGUGAAGAUUUUUAUUCUUCCUUCUCUGUUGCAUUAGUAAUUUUAUCCAGUUAAAAUUUUGUGGUCUCCAUUUUCUAGAGUGAAACCAAAGUCAUCAUAUCACAAGACCCCUGAAAUCAGUGAACUUUCCCAGAAAGAAACAUUUCAUAUAACAACUUUUACAUUAAUAGGCGCAAAAAUACAUUUUGAUAAUAAAUAAAACAAAUUUGAAGUUGCACGAACAUAGUAAAAAGAUAAGUAAGCC
Molecule: long non-coding RNA, 1876 nt
Filed under: Mus musculus (house mouse)
Lineage: Eukaryota; Metazoa; Chordata; Mammalia; Rodentia; Muridae
Description: long non-coding RNA chr12:89885945-89887821
Source: RNAcentral